AACGAACGCUGGCGGCAGGCCUUAUACAUGCAAGUCGAGCGCGCCUUCGGGUAAGCGGCGGACGGGUGAGUAACGCGUGGGAAUAUGCCCUUCUCUAAGGAAUAGCCUCGGGAAACUGAGAGUAAUACCUUAUACGCCCUUCGGGGGAAAGAUUUAUCGGAGAAGGAUUAGCCCGCGUUAGAUUAGGUAGUUGGUGGGGUAAUGGCCUACCAAGCCUACGAUCUAUAGCUGGUUUGAGAGGAUGAUCAGCCACACUGGGACUGAGACACGGCCCAGACUCCUACGGGAGGCAGCAGUAGGGAAUCUUAGACAAUGGGGGCAACCCUGAUCUAGCCAUGCCGCGUGUGUGACGAAGGCCUUAGGGUCGUAAAGCACUUUCGCCAGGGAUGAUAAUGACAGUACCUGGUAAAGAAACCCCGGCUAACUCCG
Molecule: ribosomal RNA, 429 nt
Filed under: uncultured Octadecabacter sp.
Lineage: Bacteria; Pseudomonadati; Pseudomonadota; Alphaproteobacteria; Rhodobacterales; Roseobacteraceae
Description: bacterial SSU rRNA
Rfam family: Bacterial small subunit ribosomal RNA
Source: RNAcentral